CUCCCAACAAAGGACCCUGCGAUUCCACUAAGACAGAUCCAAGAAAAGGUAACGGACCCAACGCACCAUGAACAUGAUGGUCCGCCAGGUUCGACACUCGUACACUUGAUGAGGAGUCAACAUACCCAUGAUUAAAGCAGAAGAAGCAUCUCUGGGUUGAAUGUCUGAAUCUUUCGCAGAUCUAACAUUGAAGACGGGUUCAAAACCCUCGACUGCGGCCUCCAGACGAGAACCGAUCACCAUGAACAGAGCCCUCCUACGAGGAAGUAGCUUCUAAAAGAUUUGCACAAAAAGGUACAUCCUAUACCACACGCACCGACCGACUCUCAUAUUCAAGCAGCACAUCGAUUAAAUGCUAAAGCGGCAGAGGAUUCGACGAGAGCGACGCGAGGGUGAUGACAGAAUCGAACUCUUGAGAUCAUGACGAAGUUGGGAAAGUUUUGUACCUGUAACGGCAGCGAAGAGACAAGUGGCGGUGUUCCACACAUCACACAUCGUUCGAGCCUCUGUAAACGAUGAAAGAAGUGAGGAAUUAAUUAUGGACAGUAGCCAAGUGAGUAACCGGUCUUGCUGAAUAAACGCCGAGGCAUCCGAAUUCAAAACAAGCGAGCCUUUUAAAAACUGCACAAAUCGCGGUGGAGCAGUCUCAUGACGCGAAAACGAGUAAACGAGCCUAGCACCGGUGAACACUGAACCUCCAUGUUCGAUAGAGGCAGAAUCAGUAGAAGUCAUGGUGGCCAUGAACACAAGUCUCCAGCACCUUAGGCGAUUGAUACCAUGUUAACACCUUUGGCUAGGUCAUGGGGAAAGCUUUUGCCUUAUCCAGAUGGUUAAGGGGAGCCAAGAAUUACCAAUGGGAUGGGACAUUUCUCUUAAAGCGAUGGCGAAGAAGAUGGUGGCUGGAGGUAGCAUUUGGCUUUACGAGACAAGAGCUAAUUGGAAAGGUAAUUCAGGAGUUACAAUGGAGGAAAAAUAAAAGUCUAAUCUGAACAUUAAUAUGGCUGAUUUUAUGAGAAAUGCUGGCAGCAACUUGGGCAUUAAUUUGGCUGGAAAGUCAAAACUUCCUUGUAUGAAUGAAGACAUAUCUGAAGCAAUGAAUGCUAAUAUGGGGAGUGAUAAUCGGCCCAUUAAUUUUGUAGAUAGGAAAAUAAGUCCCAGAUAUUUUGAUGAUGGGUGUGGUUCUGAUGAGAAUGUGUCGAAUUUGGGGAAUGAAGGAAAAAAGGGUGAUGGAAAAAAAUUUCAACGGCUGAACCUGUAGAAUAGGUCAGCUGAGUAUUAUGAAAAUAUUAAGUUGGAACGUUUGUGGAAUAGGGAAUCCACGGUUAGUUCGAAGAAUUCAGCAGUUACUGAAAGAAUAUCGUCUCCAUAUAAUUUUCUUCAUUGAAAUAAAACUAAAUGAGAGUAAUAUGGAAAAAAAUCGUAGAAAAUUUGGUUAAUAUAAUGGCAUUGAUGUCUCAUCUAAUGGGUCAAGGGGGGGUUUAAGUUUGGGAUGGCAAAAUAGUUUGUCAGUUGAUUUGCAGAAUUUUAGUGACUACCAUGUUGAUGUAACGAUUACUGAUGUUGAUAUGGAUUUGAAGUGGUGUUUCACUAGCUUUUAUGGAGUUCUGGAGGGUCACAGAAAAAGUGAAUCGUGGGACUUGAUGAAACGACUUGGCCAGAAUUAUGAAGGGCCAUGGGUGAUCAUGGGUGAUUUUAAUGAAAUUGUGUCGAAUGAAGAGAAGUAAUAAGGGAGGCUAAAAGAGGAGCGACCUAUGAGCACUUUUCGGGAUGCGUUGGAGGGAUGCCGAUUAGCGGAUAUGGGUUUCUUAGGAAGAUGGUAUACAUGGGAACGUGGCAAUUUUGCUUCAAAUAACAUCCGUGAGAGGUUAGAUAGGGGUGUCGCUACUGCAACUUGGUAUAGUACUUUCCCUAAUUAUGUCGUUUCUCAUCUCACUAGCCCAAUUUCAGAUCACAACCCUUUAUUACUGGAUACUAAGGCUUUCAAUUUUGUAAGUCAAAGGUCAGCAGGGGAACCGAAUUUUAAAUUUGAAACAACAUGGAUGUUGGAAGACUCGUGUGAGGAGAUGAUUACUAAACUUUGGCAGGAUUCAAAUUAGUUGAGUAUACCGAAUCGUUUACUAAAUAUGGGAAAGAGGUUGAAGAAAUGGGAAACUAGAAAGUAAAAUGAAACAAGCAAGCCAUUCAUAAAUUCUGAAAUAAACUCAAUGAGCUGUAUGAAGCAGAUGUGGCUGAUGUAGUUUUGGGUGAAAUAAUUGAAGCUAAGUUGGCACUAAAUUUAAAGGUUGAUAAAGAGGAGAUCCACUGGGAGAAAAGGGCCAGAACAAAUUGGCUAAGGUAUGGUGAUCACAAUACUAAUUUUUUUCAUAAUUAUGCUUCAUUUAGGCGUAAAGUUAAUAGAAUUCAGAAACUGAAAGAUGGUGAUGGAGUGUUACGUGAAGGGGAGGAAGAAAAAUUAGAUAUUUCUUAUAAUUACUUUAAAGGUACUUUUGAAAGUAAGGGUUCUGUAGGUGCGAAUGUUAUAUAUAAUGGGCUGACUCCUACAGUGACCUGAUAGAUGAAUAAUUCCCUUUUGGAGGAUUUUUUGACCAUGAGAUUUUGAAAACGAUGAAGGAAAUGGGCUUUAAGAAGGCCUCGGGAUAUGAUGGUUUCCCAGCCAUUUUUUACUAGAGAUUUUGGCAUAUCAUUGGGGAGGAUGUUAAACAAUUUUGUCUACAAGCCUUGAAUAGAGAGAUACCAUUGCAUGAGAUGAAUUUUACAAAGAUUUCCUUGAUCCCAAAAACUGAUGAGGCGAAUGAUAUGUCUUUAUUCCACCCGAUCAGUUUAUGCUCCGUAUUAUACAAAGUAAUUUCUAAAGUCAUUGCGAAUCAAUUGAAUAUUGUUUUGGAUAUUUGUAUUGAUGAGGCACAAGGGGCAUUUGUUCCAGGUCGUCUUAUUUUAGACACUGUUUUGGUGGCAUAUGAGUUGAUGCAUGCUUUGAAGAGAAAGAGAACAGGAAAAAAGGGGUCAUUUGCUUUGAAGCUCGAUAUGAGCAAAGCUUACGAUCGGGUUGAAAGGCAUUUUAUAGAAGGUAUGAUGCUUCAAAUGGGUUUUGAUACAAGAUGGGUGGAACUUAUUAUGCAUUGCAUAUCGUUGGUUUCAUACUUUGUAAUGGUUAAUAAAGAGGCCAAUGAAGUAUUUAUUCCUAGUAAAGGAUUACGACAAGGAGAUCCUCUGAGUCCAUAUUUAUGUUUAAUGCGUACGAAAUGUUUUUCAACAUUACUAAAGAUUGCAAAGCAGGAUGGCAUAAUGAAGAGAGAGAGGGAGUCUAUCAAUGACGCACCUUUUCUUUAACGAUGACAGUAUUAUCUUUGGUGAGGCUACGGAAAGGGGAGGCUAGGUGAUUAAAGAUAUUUUUGAAAAGUAUGAAAGGGCUUCAAGUUAGAAAAUUAACUUGGAUAAGUCUGUCAUUUUCUUUAGCUCGAAUUUGGAGAAUCAUGGUUGCAAUCAGAUUGUGAACAAUUUAGGGGUGUGAAGAUAUUUUAGUAUGGAACGGUAUUUGGAUUACCAACUCUGGUAGGUCGAAGCAAGAAAGAAGCCUUUUUCAUAUAUUUGCGAUAGGAUGAGACAAAAGAUUGAAAAUUGGAGUGUUCAUUUUCUUUCGCAUGGGGGAAAGGAGAUUUUCAUAAAGGUUGUUCUUCAAGCUUUACCCACUUACUCUAUGUCUUAUUUUUUUUCUACCCAAAACCCUUUGCCAUAAUCUUGAACAAAUCUUGAAUCGAUUUUGGUGGCAGAAAAGUGAAAAGCGUAGAGGGAUGCAUUGGAGUCGAUGGGAUGAUUUGUGUAAACAGAAGGAUCGAGGGGGUAUGGGGUUUCGCGAUUUAUUUGGGAACUUACCCAUCAUAUGUGUGGAGAAGCAUUUUUGCAGCAAAAAAACUUCUAGAGGACGGGGUGGGUUGGAAUGUGGGCUCUGGUAUGAACAUAUUGAUCUGGAGGGACAGUUGGCU
Gossypium raimondii (Peruvian cotton) is the source of this 3983-nucleotide long non-coding RNA. RefSeq lists it as uncharacterized. The transcript has 5 exons. NCBI's taxonomy places the organism in Eukaryota, Viridiplantae, Streptophyta, Magnoliopsida, Malvales, Malvaceae. The record is from RefSeq and is a predicted model, not a curated record.